CUACGGAAGCUGACCUUUUUUAUUUUGGAAUUUUAUGACAACUUGGUGUCCCUUCAUUUUUCAGAACUCACUACCAGCAAGAAUUAAAGGAAUCUAUGUGAUCAACACACCAGCCGUGGCUGAAUACGCUGUGUCCCUUGUGCAGUUCUUUCUACCAGCGAAACUAAAGAGCAGGUUGCACUUCUUCCGCGGCGGCUUUUCGGAACUUCGCGGAAUUAUUCCUUCUGAACUGAUACCAAAGGACUUCAGCGGAACGCAAGAAGACUUCGACUUCCACGCACAAGAAGAUUUCCUCCUUGAGAAGACCAGCUACUUUGACAGUAUGCAGCAGUGUGGUUAUUGAUGGAGUUAAAUGUGGGUCAGUCUGAAGAACGUAAAGACCUUUGUAUUAUAUGUAAAUAAUAAAUAUGUUUUUGUUCAACGUUU
This 426-nucleotide long non-coding RNA is filed under the name Dermacentor andersoni. RNAcentral describes it as "uncharacterized LOC126537537". Lineage: Eukaryota; Metazoa; Arthropoda; Arachnida; Ixodida; Ixodidae. The record is from RNAcentral.